UGAAAAAGAGUUGAAGCUAAAGGAAAAGGGAGAUCCUAAAAAGAAAGAGCUAUAUGCAAGGAUGGAUGUAUGGGGAUCAAGUUAAAGAGAAUUUAAAGUUGAUGAGGUUGAUAAAACAACACUAAUGGCAAUAGGUGACUCAGACAUGGAGGAAGAAGAAACCAACACCGGGGUAAGUGUCCUUGAUCUGAAGGAUACGCUGCAUCUUUUAUCUAAAAAAAAACUUAUUUUUCUUUGAUGAAUGCACUAAUUGGUGAGUUUUAUGAGUUAAUCUUGCUAUGAAUUAGUUAUUCAGUAGCCUUGCAAAUCUUAAAUUUGAAUACAUGAUAUUGAGCUAAAAGGCUGCCACUGAUAAAGAAAGAAAAAAGUCAUAGAUCUGUUAAAAAACAAUUCUACCAACAUGUUUCCAUCAUGGGCAAAAGGAUGUUUAGUUCAUCAUUUUGUUCAAAGAAAAAGUCCUAAGCUACUCUGGGUUCCUAAAAUUAAUUUCUGACCGUCUUGUAGGAUCGAGUGGAAGUAAAAGAGGAAAUAUGAUACAUGAAUAGUUCUUAUUCAAGGAAUAGGAAUAGAGAUAAACUAAAUUUCUUUCACUCACAACUAUAAAGGAAGGAAAUAUAGUAUUCAAAUAUGAUAUGAAAGAUAGCUUAUGAUAGGGGGAACCGUGAAUUAAACAUAUGGAUGAAUAUUGUCUGUUUUAAGAAUCAAAUUGAAGAUAAUUAAUAGUACAUGAGUAUCUUUCAAUGAUUGGAUAAAGAAUACUAUACAAAAUGCAUAUUAAGUUUAACUUGUUCAUCUUAAUGUGCUCUUUGUUUUCAUAAUGUUUUAUGAUGCCAAAUGGGGAAAGUGAGUGUACUGUGUAAUGUUUAUAAUUCAAUGUUCUAACCUGGUUCUUCCAAAAUAUUUCUCCUAAUGUAUUGCUAUUCAUAUGGUUGAAAUAGUUUUCAAUGAUGCCAAAAGGGGGAAGAUACGGAUUGUACAACUUUUGUAAUCUACUUAACUAACCUAGUCCAUUCAGUUAACCAACCUAGUUCAUUCAAGUGUUUCAUAUUUUAUUGUUCACAAGUAAUGCACAAGGACAUGCAUUUAUAAACAUCGAAAAGAGAGAAUCUAUUAGGCCUUGUGGAGUUUUGAUGAUUGACAAGAGGCCAUGGAACAAGUAAGCACUACAAGUUCAUGAAAAACCAUUUCAAGAGAGUUCAACAUGCAAUAGGACUUUUGAUGGAUAAAAUUACAUAUGAAAAAAUAAAGAAAUUAAAGGUUUUUACUUCAUAUAAGCAUAAGGAAAUCAUCAUAUGCUGAAAAAGAGGAUUAGUUCUUGAGUACGACACUUAAGAAUAGAGUCCAAGAAGCAUGGGAUUCCCUGUGCAGUUAAAGCCUACUUAGUUGUAAAUAUCAAUUAGAAUUAUAAAUGUUCAAGGACUUUCAAAAUGAGAUUCAUGUACUUAUACCGAGAGGGAAAAAAAGGUAAAACAUAGGCAAAUAAGUAAGAACAAUAUUUGAGAAAGUUCCGCCUAGCUAUCCAAGUGUUGCCAGUAUGAAGAACCUGAUUGAAGAAACUUGUUCCAUAGGAAUAAAAUUUACAGUUCUUAAGUCUAGUUUUACGUAUUGAUUAAUCGAGUGGUAAUUUCAUGUUUUUCUUGUGUCAAUGGAUAAUAAAAUGGUUUAGGAGUUUAGACUUUAAGUUGAGAUAACUCGAAGACUUGAGAACACCUAAGGUUUGUGUGUGUUUAAAAAUUAGAAUUAGUUCCUAGAGUUGUAAGAGUUUUAUAAUCUAAUUUAAGUCGGGGAACUUGAAGGGGGAUUCAACAGUCUAGGGAGAUUGUUGAAUAUUAAGAAGUAGAAUUUAUAAUUUCUUAGGUUACAAAAUUUGUAAGAUUUUUUUGAAAGGUUUGUCGUGUUUAGUGAAGUUGGGGUUAAAACCUAUAGAGGUACCAACAAAUGCAACUGAAGUUUUGUAGUGUGUGGUUUUGGGUAUGACAUUGUAUUAAUUAAGGAAUCCAUUGAGCGUUGACAAAAAAAUGGAGGCCGCGGUCUUUUACACCUUUUGUGAGUCGGAUGUUUUUGUUGCUCCCAAGCGCACACGCAAGUGUACAUGGUCCACCCAAGUAAUAUAGUAGCCUUGAAAAAGUCAAGUAUCGAUCCCACAGAGACUAGUGUUAAUCAACUAUCCAAUUCUAGUUCAACUAUUAAGAUUAAACCAGUGCUAAAGUAUCUACAAGAGUUGAAAAGUUAAAACUAAAUAUAAACUUAAACAAUGCGGUAAAUUAAAGGUUUGAACUAUUGGGAGAAGGACAGGGUUAAGGCACUACUGUAACACCCUACAUUUUUGAGCAAGAAUUCAAAUCGUCAUUCCUACGUGUAUAAACUCUAAUUUAAUGAUUUGUAUAUGAAUAUAUGUGUCAUGAUCAUUUAUCUAGUGUGAAAAGUGCUAUCGAGGUGAAAAAUGUUCAUAGGAAACACUUAGAGCAAAGUUGAGUUAAGAGCUUUUGAUUCGACCAAAUUUUAGUAUUACAUCCUCCAAGGGUCAACUUUGAUCGUGUAUAACUUCUGGAUUAUAUAGAAUUUUAGAGCUCAAAACCCAGCAAAUUAUAUGUAAAUGUGUCAUCUUCCCAACUCAUCCUAUUUUUCCUUAAUUCGAUACCCGAGAGAAACAUUAUGAGCAUUUUUUGUGAGAAACUAGUGACGGUCAACAAUUUCAACGUGGCACGAACCUUAUGCUCCACGAUUUAGGCGUGGCAUAGACCGGCAUUCAGAAAUGCUAAAACCCAUGUUUAUCUUUAGUUUUUGAGGUUAAACAAGUCAUUUAUGUCCUAAACUAUCCUAUGACUGAUAUAAAUGUGAUUUUAUUAUCCCAUAACCCCAAAUACAUCAAAUAAAUGAUCCUUUUCUUCCCAAAUUCUCAAGAACACCAAGCAAGGGUAUCUUCCAAGAAAUCACCUCCCAAGGCUACAAAUCCAAGUUCCCCUUUCACAAAUUCAUGAAAAUUAGGUAUGUGGAUAUUCAAUGAGGAUCUUCUUUCAUCUACAUGCCCAAAAUUACGAUUUCUAUUCAUGAAUUUUAGGAAUUCCAUAAACUAGGAUUCCAUGAAAAGCAUAAAUUUCAUGAUCUCUCCAUGUAAUUCUUGAAUUCUACCAUGAAAUAGUGUUCCCUCAUAAUUUCAAUUAUUAUUCCGUACUUUAAUCAUGAUAAUUCGUUACAUUGAUGAAUUAUUGGAUUUUUGAGUUAAAGUCAUGAAAUGUCUUAUCAUGUCAUUACUUUGAAAUUAUCGUAUUUAAUUAUAUUAUUUUUCAUGCUGGUGGGUUAUGAACACUUGAUACAUAGGUGAAUUAUGCAUGUUAUAGUUUUCAGGUUACAAGUCGUUUAGAUUAGGCUUGUAUCGCAAAAUUUCAGAAUAACAUCAUAAUGAGCAAUCAUCAGUAUUAUAGCAUGUUGAAUACAAAUAAAUAUCAGUGUCAAUCAGUUGGAAGUAACAUUUAGCACCGAGUGAACGUAGGGGUGACGGCUCUCCCGUCAGUUAGGCAUGAGUCGUUAGUAGCAAUUCCUAAGUUCUAGACCUACGGCGCCACCAUAGAGUAUUGAGGAUUCCCCCAUCAGUAGAGGCAUGACACCCUCAUCCUUCGGGACAUCAGUUUAGUGGAUCCACGUCAGCCAUGUGUUGGUUCCCAUGGCAAGUAUCAACACCCUUCUAACUAGGAUUACAGAUUGGACCCCGAUUAGCUCAGAUUAGGACAUGAUGGUUGUAGUUAUCUCCCACAACCUCAGUUCAGUAUUCAAAUCACAUCAGCUCAGGUUUGCAUGACCAAGUGUUCAGUUUAUCAGUUAUUCAUUUUUAAAGAUUAUGUAAGUAUUGCUUAUGCUUGGUCUUGUAUUCGUUUUACAUAUUCAUGCAUUCAUGAUCAGUAUUCAUACAUGAUCUUCAAUACAGUUUUACAACCUAUUCAGUUUUAACUUGAGAUUUACAUAUAGUACUUAUGUCUCUAUCGCUUCCCAGUUUACAGAAAUAUUUUUAGCUCAUGCUUUAGAAAUUUCACUAUGUCUUACAGCUUUUACAUACAACCAUGAUUUAAAUACAUAUUUCAGCAAAUAGCUUAUAUCCUUAGUUUUAAAGCAUACAUUAAGUAUUUUCAUGAUUUAGUGCAUAUCUCAUAUACUCAGUACAUUUUAAAGUACUGACCACAUAUACGUGUUUGUAGCUAUAUUUCUUCAUGAUGUAGGUACUAGAGGUAGCACACACAUCAGGGUUAGAUAGUUCGUAGUAUUCAGCCAGCAGGUGAUAAGUUCUCUUAUUUCAAAGACUCAAGUCAGUUGCAGUUCUUGUAUUAUAUUUUUUAUUAUUCAUAUGUAUUGACUUAGGAUAGUUGGAGGCAUGUCUGAGCUACCUAUAGUCAAUAUAGUAGAGGCUUCAUAGAUGGUCAGUCAGAGUCGGUAUUUAUAAUUUAAGUUUCUUUUUUAUCUCUCAAAUUUCAGUGUUGUAAACUUUGACUAAUUAUGUAUUGAAAUGGAUUAUCUCAUGUUGAUUAAGCUUACGCUCAGUUACUUAGUAUUUUUAUAUAUAUAUAAUUAGUUUCUCAAGUAUCAUGCCAGUACAUGGGUUAGUUUGAGAUCAAUUAUGGUUCUAAGAACCAUGUUAUGACUAGGGUGUUGUCUCGGGUCGUGAAAACUAUGAACAAUCAUACUAAGCUAUAAAAUUCAUUGGUUAGUUUAAUUAUCUUGGUUGUUGGUUCACGGGGUUAAUACUAUGAAUAUGGCCUUCCAAACCUCUAAUCAUUUAUCUAACUUACCCCCAUAACUACAUUGUUGAGCGAAAAUGCGAGAACUAAGUUAAAUGUGUUCAUUUUUUAUCUCGUAAUUGAACCAAACAGGUCAAGUUGGUAUAUUCCUAUCCUAAAUGCAAAUCAUAACUUCAUUUAGUUGAGAUUACAAUUCUAUUUUAUCUAUCUCACAUUCUAUCCUAUCAUUCCUCCUUCCAGGCUUGUGAUAGAAUUAUACAUGUAUUCUAAGGGUUGCAAAUCCUUACAACAGUGAUAACAAGGAAAAACAAACAACCAAUAAUGAUAAAUAACUAAAACCAACUCAAUCCAUAAUAAUAGUACUCAUGUUAUUGACCUUAAUGCUAGAAAAGUGCGUUUAGCGACUCAUGGACGUAACAAGAAUCAUAAUGAAAUAAUCUAUCAUGACCCAAGACUACUGCUAGUCAUAAAACGGUGCUCAGAGUCACAAGUGACCCUAAGCUAACCCAUGGCCUGACAAAACACUAAGAAUACAGAAUAAAAUAAUGAGAUACUGAGGAAACUAAACUGAAAUGACUGGAUUAUAAUAAAAUCAAAAUCACUAUUGAUAUCAAAACUAAGAUUGCCUGAUAUAAUUAACAUCCUGAAAAGAUAACUAUCGGUCUAAAAGCCUCUAAAUCAUAUGAGUUGUUGGUACAAGCCCCCAACUAACUCCAACUGUCUAAAACUAGAAAAAGUACUAAAAAGAAAUAUUGAUAAUCAGUCUUUAAAUGAUGAGGACUCACUAAACAUUGUUGUUGAUAUGGUGAUCAUACUAAGAGCGAUCUGAAUGCUGAGCGUCAGAACCUAUAUUAUAAGAUAAUAUAGUAUAAAGAAAGUAUGCGAUUGGUACUUUGAAUGUAUUGAGUAUGUGAGAUGAGAAAUAACUAAUAUAGGCUGAGCAUGAUGCAUGUAACAUGGUGAACUGAUUCAAGACCAAAUAAUAAACAUGUACUAUAUGAUAAGCUGAACAACUGAAUACAAGGUCAUGUAAAUAUCUGAAACUAAACUAUACGCUGUGGAUUGUGGUAGCUAACCCAAUUGGAUGGGUGAUUAGUACCUUGCCAAGUGUAUGAAUACUGACUGAUGUGGAUCCACUAAAUAGAUAUUCGAAAGGACUAAGGUGUCAACCCUGGUCUGAUGGGUUACUUUUUAUAACCUACGGUGGCGCCAUAGUUUUGGAACUUGGAGACUUUUACUAAAGGUCUUAACCUAACUGGCGGGUGAGCUUCCAUUCCUGUGUUCGCUCCAUGAUAAGAACUACUCCUAACUUAAUGACACUAGUAAUUGAAAAUGCUCAAUAAUAUAAUAAUUUGAAAAUAAAUAAUUAAUACAUAAUCCAAAAGUACUCAAUAACAUGUAAGAUGGAAAAUAUAUCAUUCAUAAGUGUAUGCAUGAAAUCCUAGGUCAUCGGGUAUUCAUAAACCACGAUCUCUGAAGAGUGUAACUAAAUAUGAAAAUAUUAAAAUCUAAACAUAAUAAUAAAUUUUAUAACUCAAGCCCAAAAAUCAAGAAUUUAUUAGUAUAAUGAGAUUUUAUAAUUCUGAGUGUGGGAAGAUGCUCAGAUUUAUGGGAAAAUAUAUAUAUCCAUAGUUUAGUUAGAGAAAUAAACUGAAAACUUAAGAAAUUCAUGCUUCCCAUGGAAACCCUAAGGUUGAAUGGUGAAUUAAACUUGAGAAAUUGAGUAAUAUUUGGGACUUAAUGGGUGGAAGGAAACCCAUUGAUGAAAUCUCACGUACCUGAGGUUUAAAAACUUGAAGAAAUCUUUGAAUAUAAAGUCGGAAGUUGAAAAGCCUAUUUCUUGUUUGGAGAGGAAAAUUGCCUCUUUCUCACUCUAAAUUUUCUAAGUGUUGAAUGAAUUUUAAGGAAUGGGGUACUUAUGGGUGUUUUAGAUAAUGAUUCAACCCUUGGAGUGCUUAAAUGAUGUAGUUUUGGUGUUAAAAUGGUGAGAAAAGACCAAAUAAUCCCUUCAAAAUCAUUUAGCAAACUUCUAGAAGAAUCCCCUACAACUUAGGCUAUGACUCGUAGGGUCUGGCCAUGUGCCAUGGCUUGAGUCAUAGUCAAAGUACCGAAAUUUUGGUCCCCACUGUUGUAACGACGAGUCCUCCUGACAACUCUUAGGGUCUGACCACGAGUCAUCGUCACUAAAAAAUUUGAUAGUGCUUCAGUAAUUUGGCCAUAAUCUUUUACUUCAGUAUUUGAUUAAGGAAAAACUAGUGGAAUUGGAAAUAUAGUUCAAUUAUCUAUCUUUUAGUGGGUCUUGAGCUAAAAAAUACUUAGUACUUUAAAAGUUAUGCUCAUUUAAAGCUGACUAUAGCAAUAUUGUUCACACAAAUUCAAUUGGUAAGGGAUAUUUUGACUUUUCUAUAAGCUAGAAGUUAUUUGGGGUCUUAAUAUAUGUCUAAUUCACUCACUAAACUAUGAAAAUAUGAUGUUUGAUUUUGCAUGAACUUGAAGCAUGGUUCACACAAAUUCAAUUGGUAAGGGAUAUCUUGUUUCAUACUUUUGCUGAUUUUGUUUACUAUCCUUUUGUCUUGAGUUAGGGGUCUAUCGAAAACAACCUCUCUUCUUCUUCGAAGGUAGUGAUAUCGACUGCAUACAUUUUACCCUAUCCAGACCACACUAUGUGGGAAUAUACUGGGUUUGUUGUUAUUGUUGUUACAUAAUCCAUGUAUAAAUAUAAGAAUAAACCAAAGUAAAAGAGUAAAAACCCUAUUUGAAGCCUCCUUAGUUGUGUAACAAAGCCCCAAGGUCGUCGAAGUUGAAUAUACAAAGGUUGGAGUGUCCUAUUUAUAGUAGACCAAGGCAGCCCAUUAAUAGGGGCAUGCCACGCCCUUAUCAUGUGGCUUAGGGUCCAUGGCACACCACUAUCACAUCUAGCUACUGGAAUUGGACAUUUGACAAUGCAACCCAGGGAGUGCCAUGCCCUUAUCAUGGUGCAUAGGGUUCGUGGCAUGCCACUAAGUCCCAAAAUUCCAGAUUUACACAAUGCUUGUCCUAUGCGUUUGUCCCUUCAUUCCAAGAUUUGUGGUGGUAUUUCAUCUUGAUUUAUAGCUUGUGUAUCAUCCAGUUAUCAUCUUGAUAUACCCACCAAACAUCCUAUAACAUCAAACACCAUGACUUAGAACUCAAAACAACAUAGAAUAUAACACAAUGAACUAGAAAGGAACAUAGCUCAAGCUAAGUGUACUAGUUUUUGUGCUUGUACUUUAACUUAGUAUUUUAACUCCAAAUUCAUUAUGAACACACCUUAUUUAUACAAGAAUCAAUUCAUUAAGCACUUAGAUUCUCAUUUAUGUAAGAAUCAAUUCAUUAAGCACAAGAAAAAUCCUUAUAACUAAGCUAAUUGAGGUUGAAUAACCAUACUUAGGUGCAUAAAUCCACCUAAGGUCAUCUCCCCACACUUAAAGCCUUGUUCAUCCUCAACACUCUUUACUUUAAGCAUCACAUCAAGGAAGACUCCAACACUAGUCCUACAAGUAAGACACCCAAUCUAACACUACAAUGACUAUACUGAAUGUAAGUUUAUAAACUAAGCACAUCAUGUACACUUGAAAGCUCGUGAACAGUACUUCAAGACAUCCUAACCUUAAGACUUGACUCACCAAGUUGGAAAACUUAUGCAUAUCACUCAAUUGAAGAGAUCAUACAAAUCACCUAACUAUCAUCAAACAUGUGCCCUCACUAUAAGAGAGUUACCCAUAUUCACUCGCAUAGAACAAUUUAUCACAAAAUAGGUAUAAGAAUCAAAUUACGCUCACUCUCAUAAAGAAUUCACAAGUUACACACAAUGAAACAGAGGCUUGCCAUUAGUGUAGUACUCCACUACUAUCAGAAUGUUAAGGCUUAAAAUCAAAUAAAUCCUUAAGGAUUGUUAUGUAGGUUAAGGGAUGGGUAGAAACUAUUUUGUCCAAUAAUAAUGACUAUAUUUCUUAAGCGCUUUAAUACAUCACAUGAAUAUUAAGAUCUCUUUUGUUAAUAACCAAUUUCCAUCACAUCUAUCUACACACAUCUUUUAUUUUUCCUCACUCAUUAAGCUUAUUCACAAAUACUUUGGAAGGGAGUAAUUCUUUAUCAACUAGUGAUUAAAUUUCAGCAAAAUUCCUUUUUUAUUUUUCACUGCACAUCUCCCAAACACAAUAAAUCAUUUUGGCACACCAACAGCUUCUACUUUCGGGCUUAAUAUUCACCUUUUCCUUCUUAUUUUGACACUCCUUAAUAUCAUUAAUUUUUCAUUAAAGCGCUUAGGAGUUUUGGAUCAAAUUAAGGUCAAACCAACAAAAGGAAACAGGUUACAAAUGAGGCUACCAAAGAAUAGGUUAAAAGCUCAACAAGGAUAACUAGGAUUACGUAUAAGGGUAGGUAAAAGAAGAACAUGGCUAUCAAAGAAAUGUCUAUAUCAUCCCCUACACCCACACUCGUUAUUUUGCUUUGCACACACACCAGGCAAGUUCUAGAUAUCAAAAUGCAACAAGGAAUACACAAAACCUUACUCACACAUGGCAUAUGCUCAAAUAACGCAGGAUCAUUAAGACUCUCAACCAAGCACAACAAGAAUUCAGAAUUAAGCCAAUAACUUUAAAGAGUCAUAAAUAAAAGCCUAAGAGUAUCAAAAGUAGUCAUUCAACACAAGCAACAUACUUAUAUAUUCAAAGCAACUUACAUCAUGCAAUCAUACAUAACAUUAACAAGAACAUCUCACUUAUCCUAACAUAAAAUUUAAAAUUUACUCCUAAAAAGAAAAUAGGAUAUAGGAUUCAAAGGACACCCCCAUAGAAAAGAACCGAUAAGAACAACCACGGGUGGGUAAAGUGUGUACCUUCUAAACUGACACCCACAAAAUAAAAACUAGACUCAAACAAAGUGAAAAUCUUUUUGUAAUUUUUCAAUUUUUUUCAAUUUAACCCAAUAACUAAGAAAACAAAUAAACUAAGAUCAUAUAUCAUCACUUUACUCAAAAGCAUGAAAAUUUCCUCACCCUAUAAUUAAAAACUUACUUUGUCCCCAAAGUAAACUCAAAAGAAAGGAUAGAAAUACUCCCUGAGGCCUUUAGGCCUAGCUAGUAGCAUAUUUAUACAUUAAAAGGGUCCGGGGACCCCACAUCCAGUCUUUGCCAUGCUUGUUAGCUUUGGUCUAUGAUACUCAGAAUUUUUUUUAACCCGUGACUCAACAAAAACAAAAACUGCGUGAAGUAAAAACUAAAAUACUGAAAAAUAAAAUACCUACCUUAACUUGAUUUAACUCUCAAGAAACACCUAAUUUAGUGUCACGACACGGCCUAACAUCACUACUCAACCAUAUUCCUUCAUCCUCUUUCUCCUACUUGGAGGUCAUCUUCUUACUCAUUUUUGACCUCUUAACUAUGUACUCUCAAGGUUAAUAUUUUUCUCAAUAGUAGACUUUUCAGCGUCGUCAAUCAUCAUUUCUUUGGACUUAGGUGGUAGCUUAGGAAACUCAAUGAGAGAUUUCGAAGAGUUCUUUGGUGGUUUGGAAUCCACCACCCCACACUUAUCAACUUAAAUCACCAUAAUCAUACACAAAUCUUUGUAGUGGGAAGGUGUAUUGAGUGGGUUGUAAACUUUAAAGACCACCUCUUUUUCAUCCAACCUUAUUUUGAGAGUUCCCUCUCUCACAUCUAUCAGUGCUUCUCCGUUGAUAAAAAUGGAUGUCUCGAAAUGAUUGGCACCCUAUUAUAUACAUCACAAUCCAAAACAAUAAUAUUAAUAGGGAUAAUAAACUUACUAACCUUGAUGAGCACUUCCUCAAUGAUUCCUUCGGGCUAGACUUUGGUUUGGUUUGUCAUUUGUAACACCAUAAAGCAUGGCCUCAAAUUCCCUAAACCAAGAGUGUGAACACUGAUAGAGGCAUCAAAUUUAUACUUACAUAUAAGUCACUCAUAGAAUAGACCAAAUCAUUGUCACCAAUUUGUAUGGGGAGGGUGAAACUCCAUGGUCCUUUAGCUUAUUGGGAAUUUUUCUCAUCACCAUAGAGCUGCACUCCUUCGUAUGUUCUACCGUCUCAACAUCCUGUAACUUUAUUUUAUUGGUCACUACAUCUUUCAAGUACUUAUCAUACUUGGGCAUUCCCUGCAAAAAAUCUAAAAGAGAGGUUAAUUUGAAGCUCUCUAAACGUGUCAAAGAACUUCUUGAAGCACACAUACUCCUUUGAAUUCUUAAGCCUCUAAGGGAAUGGUGGUGGUGGUCUCUCAUUCUCAACAACUUAAGUUUUUGGGUACUCAAACUUUCCUAAGUUAUCAUCAUCUUUCACCGCAACCUAUUGUGGAACUAACUCAGCCUGUACCUCUGGAUUUUUAUAGAUGCCUAUUAAUAAUCUCCUUACCACUCCUCAAUGUGAUUGUAAUAACUUUUUUUAUAUGUGUAGUAUCACUUGGAGGACCACCUUGAGGCCUAGUAUUCUGUGAUUGAGCUAGUUGCACUAAUUGCUACUCUAACUGCUUCUGUGUAAUUUGCUGAUUUUUUAUUUUAGCAGCCAUCUGCUCUUGAUUGUCCAGGAUUUUUUUCAAAGUCUCCUCAAUGUUAUUGGCCUAUGUAUUAUGUUGCUGCUAAUACUACUGCUGAUUAUUGCCCCAAGAAUAAUUAGGAUGAGUCUGCCACUUGUGGUUGUAGGCAUUACCAUAUGUACCUUUUUGUUCGUUGCCUACAAAGUUUACCGAUUCAGGGUUUGCACCACAUAAGUCUACAGAAUGCCCAUUGUUUCCAUAUAUCUCACACCAUGAUGGAUCCUGCUAUACCAUUUUCACCUGAGCCUCAAUUUGUUGCACACCUAACUUGCUAAAUUGAGUCAUUAUCUUAUUCAGCAUAGCUGAUAGUUGGGUGGCUAAGGCUGUGAUACGAUCAACUUGAAUCAUGCUCGCAGCCUUUCUCACCGAGCUUCAUGAGAUAUCACGAUGACAGUCUGGAUUCUCUUGAGCAAUAUAGUUAAAUAGGGUAUACAACUCAUCAUAUGUUUUCCCAAAGCCUAACCUUCUACAACUGAAUCUAAUAAAAUUUUCAUAUUAUAGCCAAGUACAUCAAAAAAGAUAUGAGAUAAUACCCUAUUGGACUACUGGUGAUGUGGAUAGUCCCAAGGAAGAGAUAUGAACCUCUCCCACACAUGAUACAGGUUCUUAUCUGGCUUCUAUUUGAAGCUCAAUAUCUCAUUGCGAAGUCUUGCUAAAUGGAAAGAAUUGGAUGAGGAAUAUUCGAGCUAAAUUAUCCCAUGUUAUGAUUGAACCUACUGGUUCAGUGUUCAACCACUUCUUUGAUUCCCCCAAGAGUGAAAAGAGGAAGAAUGUCAGUCUCACAUAAUCAGUUUUUAUACUCGUAGGGACGAAUGUGCCACUGAUCUCAAGAAAAUUUUACAAGUGGAUUUGUGGAUCUUCAUGUGACAAACUAGUAAACUGUCCACUGCUGUGAAAAAUUUGCACCAUAUUCAGCUUCAAUUCAGAUCUACAUCAAGGAGUUAGUCUUUGAAGAGCAGAGGUUACAUUAGUCCUAAGUGGGAUUGCCACUUCGUGAAUUAUCCUAAGGGCUGGUGGAUCUUCAACCAUGGGAUUAGGAGUAUUUUUUCUCUGUGAAUUUGAGGGAUUCUGUAGAGAAGUACUGCUUCUCUCCUUUGUUUAUGUAAGCGUUGCUCAAACUCAAGAUUUGGCUCAACUAACUCCCUAUCCCUAGCCAGCUUACUCGCUUUUUAAACUUGUGCCUGCAAAUUUAGAAAACAAGAUCAAGUGAAUAGCACCGAAGAUCUUAAAAAGUAAAACUAAAACAAAAACAGUUGGCAAAUUACAAAUCCCCAACAACGGCGCCAAAAUCUAGUUGCACCCAAGCACACACGCAAGUGUACAUGGUCCACCCAAGUAAUAUAGUGGCCUUAAGAAAUCCAAGUAUCGAUCUCAUAGGGACUACUGUUAAGUGACUAUCCAAUUCUAGUUCAACUAUUUAGAUUAAUCUAGUGCUAAAGUAUCCACAAGAGUUUGAAAGUUACAACUAAAUGUUAACUUAAAUAAUAGGGUAAAUUAAAGGUUUGAAGUAUUACGGGGAGAAGCCUAUGCUUAAGGCACUAUGAACAAUCAUUCUAAUCUAUAAACUUUGUUGGUUAGGUUAAUUAUCUUGGUUGCUGGUUCAUGGGGUUAAUACUAUGACUAUGGCCUUCUAAACCUCUAAUCAAUUAUCUAACUAAGCCCUACAACUACAUCGUUGAGCUGGGAUGCGAGAACUAAAUUAAAUGCAUUAAUAUUUCAUCCCUUAAUCGAACCAAAUAGUUCAUGUAUAUUCCUAUCCUAAAUGUAAAUCAUAACUUCAUUCAAUUGAGAUUACGAUCCUAUUCUAUCUAUCUCACAUUAUAUCCUAUCAUUCCUCCUUCUUGGCUCGUGAUAGAAUUAUACAUGUAUUCUAAGGGUAAAAAAUCCUUAAGAUAGUGAUAAAAAGGAUAAGAAGACAUCCAAUAAUUAUAAAUAACCAAAAUCGAUCCAACCCAUAAAAAAAGUACUCACGCUCUUGGCGUUAACCCCGAAAAAAGGGCAUUUAGCCAUUCAUGGAUGUAACAAGAAUCAUAAUAAAAUAAUCUAUGUAUAAAUCCAAGAAUAAACUAAAUUAAGAGAGUAAAAAAACUUUUUUCAGCCUCCUUAAUCGUGUAACAAAGCCUCAAGGUCUUCCAAGGUGAAUACAUAAAGGUUGGAGUGUCCUAUUUAUAGUAGACCAAGUAUAAUACCUCGAGAAUCCCAACCAAUAUUAGAACCAUGCUUAAAGCUCAUGAGAAAUAAAUUAUAGUGCUUUGGUAGUUUUAUGAUUGAGUUUGAUGUGUAUUAAGGCCUCAAAUAACUCCUAACUAUUAGAUGAAUCAAAAUAUCCCUUACCAAUUGAGUUCUUGAGAAGGAUGUUGCUAUAACAACUUCAAAUGAGUAUAUCUUUUGUUAUACUACUAAUUUUUGAGAUCAUGAAUGACCAACAGAUAGAUAAUUUAAUUAUAUUUCCAAUGAUACCAAUUUCUGCUUCAUAUGAUAUUGGGGUAAAAGGUUAUGCCCAUUUUACCAGAGAGUUGUCCGACUGCCGAGGUACGAUGGGAAAGUUGACGGACCAUCAUGCCAGAGAUGGACCGUCAACCAAGCCAUUGAAACUCAGGUAGUGAGCUCGUUUUCUAGCCAUAAACUAAUGGUUUUAGUGACGGUCAUUCAUCAAAGUGACGGUCCGUCACCCAGACCAUCAACCAAGUUCGAAGCAGUGCAGUAAUGAUAUUUUAAUGAGAUUUUUAGGUCUUUUGCCAUCCUUUUUAAUUCCUAGUUCCAUUAAAUUAAAGAACAUAACUCCUCAUUCAUCCUUAACAUAAAAAUUAGGGUUUCUUUCAAGAUCAUUCCCCAAGAAUAAUAUUCAAACCCUUUUUCAAGAAAACUCAAGAAUCAAAGCGUCGCCAUUCAAGAACCUUCAAGAAAAGUUAAUCUCUUUCAAGAUUCAAGCUUUUGAAGUAUGUUAGAUGUUAAUACAUGGGUCCUUUUCACCCAUGAAGUCCAACAACCCAAUUUCAAAUUCAAAUUUAUAAUUUUUACAUGAUUAUUAUGAUUUUUAACCAUGAAUUUUUAUUAUAUACCAUGGUUACACGUAAUUGUUGUUGUUAUUAAACCCCACAUGUUUGAAGGUGUUGUUCAUUGAUUUAAGCCUUAAUUGGUGCUUUAAUUAUUGAAAUCAUGCUAUUACUACAAGUUUUAAAACUAAUCCCAUUCUUAUCUUAAACCAUGCAUUGCAAGUGUUUGAUGAAAUCCUAUAAGAAUGAGUUUUGAAUAAAUACUUGCAUAUCAUGUCCUCAAAGUUUUAGUCUGAUUUUUCUAUAAUUGCUUUCGAGUCUUGGGGGUUUGAACACUCAAAAUUUAGAUGCUUACCUAGUUUUCAGUAGCUACAGAAUGGUUUUAGAAUAGUUAGGAGCGUUAUCAGUUCGACCAUUUAUUACAUUCAGUUAAACUCAGCUAAGUCUAAUAAUCAGUGUCAUUCAGUUGGGAGUAACACUUAGCACUGAGUGAGCAUAGGGAUGGUGUCUCCCCCAUCAGUUAGGGAUGAGGCACUAGUAGCCGUCCCUAGGUUCUAGACCUACAGUGCCACAUAGAUUUUGAGGGGUACCCCGUCAGUUAGGAAUGACACCCUUGUCCUUUGGGACUUUCGAUUAGUGGAUCCACAUAACCAGUGUUAGUACCCAUGGAACGGUACUGACACCCUUCUAAUUAGGGUUACAGGUUGGACCUUGAUAGUAUAUUAGGGCAUGUCGGUUAUAACUAGCUUCUAUAGUCUCAGUCCAAUAUUCAUCUUAUUAAUUUAGUUUUAGUUUUGCUUGACCAUAGCAUAUAGAUAUCAAUUACUCAUUUAUCGGUACUCAGUAUUUCAGUUUUUAGACUAUAUUUAGAACAUGUUUUAUGCUUGGUCAUGUAUUCUCCAUCUUUAUAGAUUUCAUGCAUUUUUACUCUAUACCUUAUGUUAUAUAUUCAGUCAGUUAUUACUCAUGCACAUGAACACAUGUAUAUUAGCCUAACCUUAUUUAGCAUACCAAUAUAUUCAAAGUACUGAUUGCAUACUCAUUUCUUGCACUAUGAUGUCUUAUAUCAUAGGUUGGGACGCUCGGGUUCCUAUUAUCAGCAACAAUCAACAAUGGUGAGUCCUCAUCCUUCGAGGAUGAGUUAUCUUACAUUCAGUAUAUCAGUAGUUCAAUUAUUUAGUUAGUCGGAGUUAAUUGGGGGCUUGUCCCAUCAACAG
RNAcentral lists this long non-coding RNA (15502 nucleotides) under Capsicum annuum. RNAcentral's name for it is "long non-coding RNA (CANN_LNC007199)". The record is from RNAcentral. Lineage: Eukaryota; Viridiplantae; Streptophyta; Magnoliopsida; Solanales; Solanaceae.